This 1625-nucleotide long non-coding RNA is filed under the name Marmota monax (woodchuck). Lineage: Eukaryota; Metazoa; Chordata; Mammalia; Rodentia; Sciuridae. The record is from RNAcentral.
AUUCUCUCUCUCUCUCUCUCUCUCUCUCUCUCUCCUCUCUCUCUUUAAAAAAAAAAGACCCUAAAGUGAUUUAAACUACACUUGUGACCUUGACAUGCAUUUACCAGCUACUGCCUAACAUUCCCCACUCAAGGACUAAAGCCCCUGAAUCAUCCAGAGAAUAAGGGGUGAUAAAGUCAAAUUGGUAGCUACUUUCUGCUGAUUAGGGGCAUAGGCCUAUAGGGUAGGUAUCUCUAAUCCUUGCUAUCUGUCAGUGAAAUGCUUCAGAUUAUGAGUAAGUUCUGUCAAAGGGGCCAUGGUAAUUCUCUGGUUUGGUAAAAACAGAUUGUAAAGCCAUCUGGGAGGUGGACGGCCUAUGAACAAAACAAGAACACAUAAGUAUUGGGAAAAGAUUGAUACAACAAUAAACAUAGUAACAUCUACAUUUACCGAUGAUAUGAUAAUGACUAUAGGUAUCAGCAGUUUCUUCCACCAUCAAGUGUCAGAAAACUAUGAGCUAAAAACUUGACCCCAUGAUGAAACAGGUGAGGACAUAACAUCUCUUUGAAAAUUAAAUAUUUAAGGAUUUUAGUUACAUUGUCAGAGUGGUCAGGAAUGUAAACACAACAUUCUGUCUGGAUAAUGGCACAAAUGCUACCCUGAUCUGUAGUGAGAUCAUCCAAAGCCAUCCGGUUUUGUAAUACAGCUUUUUUUCAUGACAGCCACCUCUAUGUUAAGGAGAGAAAUACAUCUGUCAGUGUCAUAAAGAGCUUUUGAUUAUAACUGGUCAGACUUCCAUGUUCCAGAUUAUGUCUUAUAGACCAGUCUGAGGGAUAAAUAUCAGAGUUAGAAAAUCAAACCAUUGAAAAAUAGAGUAAGCUCACCUAUGUAGGAGGUUAGGAAAAUCUGUGGGUCUCAAAUCGACUCAGAACAAACUUGUGACUGUGACAGUGUCUUUUUUUGGUAUUUAUCAGACACUCCUGUAUAAGAAUACUUAUUAAUAACUUCCAAGUUUUACUUUUGAGAGGACUGACAUAAAUUUAUAUCUUAAGCUACAUUAAAAAAAUUAUCUUUUCUUUUAAAUGUCCAUGUGUGGCUAUAUUUUGGUUAUACUCUCCUGCAAGUUGUUUAAGACCGAGUUGGUAAAAAAUUGACCCUUUUCCUAUCUGCUGUUUAGAGUCAGCUGAGAUUUGAUAGGAGUUGCUUUUACAAGCUUCAAGAAUACUCUUGGCUUCUUUAUCUUUCUCCUAUGAGUUGUGCUAUUUGCCAGGAUGGUUCAGAGUCUUGCUGACCACAUAUGGCUUCCCUUGGAAGCAUUAGGGAUAUAUCCCUUCCCAAUGACCCUCGUUUUUGCACUGUGUACACUGGUUGACUUCCUGUUUUCUAGAGUCUCCACAAUCCCCCUGAUCAAGAGGUCAGGUAACUCACCAGAGUUUCAGGACUUUUAGAGAAGUCCCAUCAUUCCUUAAAUUCCAGCUGACCUUAAAGGACAACAGCCAAAAUAUUGACUUGAGUUUUCCUUGGCCCUUUUACUUCCUUGACUUUGGUCUCCAAGCUUUAGUUUUAAGCAUUCAACAGGCCACUUUCAACAUUCUUGAAAUGGGAGUAAUGGGUUCAUGCCCAUACUGGAAGUCCGCAUUAUAUGC